GACUAAAAAUAACAAAAUCCUAAAAAUUAUAUUCAAUUACUACCCCCUGUUCACAUCUUUCCCUCACCCAUUUUUCAGAAAAAAAAAAAAAAAAGAAAAGAGGAGUGAAAAGGAAAAUGGAGGAAAGGGCAUGGGAGCAAAAACUAAAACAGGCAAUUAUGCAGAAAGGCUGGUUUUCUGAGAGCAUGGAGGGCACAGUGUUUCUGUAGUUGUGGGGGAAAAAGACUCCUGAGAGACACCCAGAGCAUGAAAAUUAGGUUUCUGCUUUGAAUCACUCCAGGCAAGUUCUCUUUAGAAGCAGCUGAAGAGCCCGGUCUCACAGGCUGAAGGUAGCCUUUGCAAACACCUCCUGUAAAAUAUUUACUUUCAUUAAAACCCUUCGUUUUCCUGAUUUUUAUUUUAGAAUCCAGGACAGUGCAAAAUGUCAUUUCUCAGAUGGUUGCACUGAUCAUGUGUUUAAUCAUUUCAGUAUGUACAAGAUACUUUAUGGGAGGACUGUUUGCCACUUUGUUGCUGGUGAUUUUAGUUCUUCUUUUGUCCCAAGAUACUGCUGUGUCCGCUUUCUUCAGUCUCAAUACAUUUUUCAAAACAACUAAAUUUUGGUAAGUAGUUCCAGUGUCACGUGAUGAAUAGAGAAAUUUAGAAAUUUUAUAUUAAGAAGAGGAAGGAGAUUCCUCCUGUUCUUUUCAAGUCAGAAGACAGAAGGUGGGGUCUGAAGUUACUGAUGGAGCUUUUGGCUUUUCCAGUUACUGAUCUGUAUUCAUAGAAACUCUGUUAAUUCAAAAACCUGCCUUUUCAUAAAGUGCAAUAAAUGUUGUAGCAGAAAAGGGAGG
Molecule: long non-coding RNA, 833 nt
Filed under: Junco hyemalis (dark-eyed junco)
Lineage: Eukaryota; Metazoa; Chordata; Aves; Passeriformes; Passerellidae
Description: lncRNA (ENSJHYG00000013689.1)
Source: RNAcentral